RNAcentral lists this ribosomal RNA (253 nucleotides) under uncultured bacterium. RNAcentral describes it as "partial 16S ribosomal RNA". It matches the Rfam family "Bacterial small subunit ribosomal RNA", at positions 524 to 776 of the family's 1533-position model. The record is from RNAcentral.
UACAGAGGGUGCGAGCGUUAAUCGGAAUUACUGGGCGUAAAGCGCGCGUAGACGGUUUUGUAAGUCAGAUGUGAAAUCCCCGGGCUCAACCUGGGAACUGCAUUUGAUACUGCAUGGCUAGAGUAUCGAAGAGGGAAGUGGAAUUUCCGGUGUAGCGGUGAAAUGCGUAGAUAUCGGAAGGAACACCAGUGGCGAAAGCGACUUCCUGGUCGAAUACUGACGUUCAUGUGCGAAAGCGUGGGGAGCAAACAGG